UACGUAGGGUGCAAGCGUUGUCCGGAAUUAUUGGGCGUAAAGAGCUCGUAGGCGGUUUGUCGCGUCUGCUGUGAAAACUGGAGGCUCAACCUCCAGCCUGCAGUGGGUACGGGCAGACUAGAGUGCGGUAGGGGAGAUUGGAAUUCCUGGUGUAGCGGUGGAAUGCGCAGAUAUCAGGAGGAACACCGAUGGCGAAGGCAGAUCUCUGGGCCGUAACUGACGCUGAGGAGCGAAAGCAUGGGGGAGCGAACAGG
RNAcentral lists this ribosomal RNA (254 nucleotides) under uncultured bacterium. Its description in RNAcentral is "partial 16S ribosomal RNA". It matches the Rfam family "Bacterial small subunit ribosomal RNA", at positions 524 to 776 of the family's 1533-position model. The record is from RNAcentral.